Molecule: ribosomal RNA, 730 nt
Filed under: uncultured Bacilli bacterium
Lineage: Bacteria; Bacillati; Bacillota; Bacilli
Description: bacterial SSU rRNA
Rfam family: Bacterial small subunit ribosomal RNA
Source: RNAcentral
CUAAUACAUGCAAGUCGAGCGGACCGACGGGAGCUUGCUCCCUUAGGUCAGCGGCGGACGGGUGAGUAACACGUGGGUAACCUGCCUGUAAGACUGGGAUAACUCCGGGAAACCGGGGCUAAUACCGGAUGCUUGAUUGAGCCGCAUGGUUCAAUUAUAAAAGGUGGCUUUCAGCUACCACUUACAGAUGGACCCGCGGCGCAUUAGCUAGUUGGUGAGGUAACGGCUCACCAAGGCGACGAUGCGUAGCCGACCUGAGAGGGUGAUCGGCCACACUGGGACUGAGACACGGCCCAGACUCCUACGGGAGGCAGCAGUAGGGAAUCUUCCGCAAUGGACGAAAGUCUGACGGAGCAACGCCGCGUGAGUGAUGAAGGUUUUCGGAUCGUAAAACUCUGUUGUUAGGGAAGAACAAGUACCGUUCGAAUAGGGCGGCACCUUGACGGUACCUAACCAGAAAGCCACGGCUAACUACGUGCCAGCAGCCGCGGUAAUACGUAGGUGGCAAGCGUUGUCCGGAAUUAUUGGGCGUAAAGCGCGCGCAGGCGGUUUCUUAAGUCUGAUGUGAAAGCCCCCGGCUCAACCGGGGAGGGUCAUUGGAAACUGGGGAACUUGAGUGCAGAAGAGGAGAGUGGAAUUCCACGUGUAGCGGUGAAAUGCGUAGAGAUGUGGAGGAACACCAGUGGCGAAGGCGACUCUCUGGUCUGUAACUGACGCUGAGGCGCGAAAG